RNAcentral lists this small RNA (539 nucleotides) under Pongo abelii (Sumatran orangutan). RNAcentral describes it as "retained intron". The record is from RNAcentral. Lineage: Eukaryota; Metazoa; Chordata; Mammalia; Primates; Hominidae.
GGUACUAGUGACCUGACACAUCUUUUUGGAGGACCCUACUGAAUCCACUGUAUCCCUUGAGCAGUCAUGUGUGAUGUGUACUUACCCCGAUGAAAAGUAGACAUCCCCAUCAGUGCUAACCGUGGUCAUAGCAGUGGCGGUUGGUCCAUGAGAGAAACGGCUCAGGCAGGGUGCAUUCUGGUCCUUGUGGCCCUCUAAUAGGCUGAUUGGGACAUUUCUUAUUCUCUUCCCCCAAGUGAAAGCCCCUCAGGGAAAAAACCAGAAGUCCUUUGUCUUCAUCCUGGAGCCCAAGAAGCAGGGCGAUCCUCCGGUGGAGUUUGCCACAGACAGAGUGGAGGAACUCUUUGAGUGGUUUCAGAGCAUCCGAGAGAUCACCUGGAAGAUUGACACCAAGGAGAACAACAUGAAGUACUGGGAGAAGAACCAGUCCAUCGCCAUCGAGCUCUCUGACCUGGUUGUCUACUGCAAACCAACCAGCAAAACCAAGGACAACUUAGAAAAUCCUGACUUCCGAGAAAUCCGCUCCUUUGUGGAGACGA